AUGCUUCUCUACAUGAUUCAAUUGAAUAUGAUUUGGAACAAACUUCCAAAGUUACAUUCAUAUGCCUUGGCGAAAGACUCCCGAAUCAUAUCUUAGAGUAUUCUCCCUCCACCAUGGAAGGUCAAAGAUCCCUUGUUGUGUAUUCAUAUGCCUACAUGACUAGAUAGCUUGACCCUAACAAUGUUGCGAACACUCUUGAUGGAAUGUCUUUGACAUGAUCAAAGAUCAAAGACCCAACCAUUAGACAUCUAUGAUGCCUCAGGUCAAAGGACUACUUUGCAUAUUACAACUUACAAGUUCUUACAUGACAUGUAUGUUCGAACUCUCUUUUGAUCGUUGUUCAGUGUACUAGAUUACCUUUUGAGCACCUAUGUGUUUGUCUCAGUGUCCAACACUAGAUGACUUGAGACUAGUCAUACUCACGUUUGAGUUAACAUAACACAUAUUAACCUUAGCGGAUUGUCAAUGCCCAAAAGUGCAUGUCUGCUUGCCAAGCCUAGCCCCAAAGUGCAUGUUUCUCUACGGGUUCUUUUGAGCUACUAUCAAUUCUUUUUUAGGCUGCUUAGAUGCCUUGUCUAUUUGCCAAGCCUCACCUCAAAGUGCAUGUUUCUCUACCAAUACGAAAGAGUCUGUCAAAGUUAGAUCUUCUUUCAUGAUCAAUUCUCCAAACAGCGGGUGGUCUGCUGGGCACCCUUUUUGGAAGGCUGCAGUUGCUAUCGAGUUGUCGCAUCUGACUAUCUUCGCCUUCUUUACUUUGAAUCUCUUCAUGUAGUCGUGGAGCGACUUCUUUGGAUUCUUCUUCACAUUGAAAAAAUGAUCGAACUUCUUCUUGAUUGAGUGGUAGGAUAAGUAUUCUUUGGUGAAAGGCAAGGAAAGUUCAUCAAAACUAUGGAUGGAUCAUGGGGGUAGGGUGUGAAACUAAUAUUGCGCCUCGCCUUGUAACGUAGUGGUGAAUAUUUUGCACAUAAGAGCAUCGUUGUUAUAGUAAAGGACUAUUGUGCUUCGAUAGUGCUUCAAGUGUCUCUCCAGGUCUCUAUCUCCAUUGGAAGAUGUGAAAUGUGGCAUGCUAAACUUGCGUAGAGGCUCUGCCUACUCAAUCUCAUCCAUGAAGGGUAACCUACUCAUAUUGAUCAUGUUCCAUCGUAGCACCUCAUCAGUGACCUCAUUGCGCUGGAAAUCACGCAAUCGCUUAGUCAAUAGCCUCUCUACUCUUCUUGAAUUUGCCUUUGUUGGGGUAUCAGAGCUCUCAGCUGCCCCUGCUCUUUAUGUGAUGGUCUAGGCUGCUCUUCUAUAUGCUUGGCUUAUCUAUGCAACGGCGGCGAUGCAUGUGGUUCAUUCCUAGCAGACGAGGGAAUUACUUGUAAACUUGAGCCGGAUUGAGUGACUAUUUAUCUCCGUCCAUCAUGUUGCCUACUCUAAUGUGAAGUGGAAGAUGCUUUUUGUGGGCCUAGUAGUGAAUGAACAUUUUUCAUGAAGGGUUGGUUAUGUUGAUUAUCAGAGUGUGGUACCAACCGUGAGUGUACGCUUGUCCGUGG
Molecule: long non-coding RNA, 1535 nt
Filed under: Malus domestica (apple)
Lineage: Eukaryota; Viridiplantae; Streptophyta; Magnoliopsida; Rosales; Rosaceae
Description: long non-coding RNA (MDOM_LNC005718)
Source: RNAcentral